UUGCCCAGCCUGGAGACCUCGCUGCUGUCACAAAGCCACCGCUCCCCACACCAUUGUCCCACCCAGGCUGGAGGGGGAGGUGGGACAGAUUCCAGCAGCAGAGGAGACACAAGAGAGACAGCAGCCAGAGUCCCUCCUGCGUGGCUGGGGGCAGCCUCGCAACCAGGAGAGCAUCCAGGAAGACAGGGAGAUAACCUCCAACCACAAGCACCAACACCUUUAUUCCACAAUCACAGCCUUUCAGGAGAGCUUCGGAGGGACAAGGCCUGAGAUUCAGCCCGAGCACAGGGUGGGUACAGGGCUGAGCGCUGCGGUCUCUGGUGCUGGUGUACGCGGCUCCUGGCCAUCGGCUUGGUGAGAGACCCAAGAAGUUUGUCAAGAGACUGUGAAUUAG
This 394-nucleotide long non-coding RNA is filed under the name Anser brachyrhynchus (Pink-footed goose). Its description in RNAcentral is "lncRNA (ENSABRG00000007401.1)". Lineage: Eukaryota; Metazoa; Chordata; Aves; Anseriformes; Anatidae. The record is from RNAcentral.